RNAcentral lists this unclassified non-coding RNA (262 nucleotides) under Hevea brasiliensis (rubber tree). The record is from RNAcentral. Lineage: Eukaryota; Viridiplantae; Streptophyta; Magnoliopsida; Malpighiales; Euphorbiaceae.
AAAAUUGUAUGCUCAAUAUCCCAUAACUGCGACAAAUAGAACUUGUAACUACCACAUAUAGAAUCGGCCCUGGUCCUCAAAGGCAAGCUAAAGUUCCGGCUCACAUGAAGGAAGGAUUGCCGCCGUGAAUCCCGUAGUACUGCCGUCACAGAGCAGUCAGGGUCUGGGCGUGCGACGUGGGUGAUGAAGGAUAAGAAUGUGUUGGUGACGACGCCAAACUCGCCGGAACAAGGAAUAUUACGUCCUCGGAGGCUGUUCAGAG